UACGUAGGGCGCAAGCGUUGUCCGGAAUUAUUGGGCGUAAAGAGCUCGUAGGCGGCUUGUCACGUCGGAUGUGAAAGCCCGAGGCUUAACUUGGGAAUUGCGCUCGAAACUACUUUGCUGGAGUGUGGCAGAGGAAGGUGGAAUUCCACGUGUAGCGGUGAAAUGCGUAGAUAUCUGGAGGAACACCGGUGGCGAAGGCGGCAUCCUGGACCAACACUGACACUGAGGAGCGAAAGCCAGGGGAGCAAACGGG
Molecule: ribosomal RNA, 253 nt
Filed under: uncultured bacterium
Lineage: Bacteria
Description: partial 16S ribosomal RNA
Rfam family: Bacterial small subunit ribosomal RNA
Source: RNAcentral